AGUAGAAGAAAUUACUCAGUUCCUAACUAGAAAGAUGCACAGUUUGAGCUUCGUACACCACUUGCACGCUUCCUGGAGCGACUACUGGCUGGGGGGCGCAAAACAGAAAAUAUAUGUGAGUGGACAAAAACCAGAUUUGCAAUUAAAAACAAUAUAGUAACCCCACCAUGUAAAAAUAAUGCUCAAGUCAUGCAGGUUUACAAUUCAAUACUUAAUUACUCAAAACAUGCUUCAUUAAAACUCUUCAAAAAAAAAAAAAAAAAACCAGUUAUCUCCUUCAAAAAGAAACCCACUCUCUCAAUCUUUCAACUCCUAUCAAACUACUAAACAAACUCUAAAUCCUUACACACUCAACUAUACAUAUACAUAUAAAUAUACAUAUAUAUAAAUAUAACUAUAGAGAGCUAUAUGAUAUACUCAUCACACCACCUAGGUACCGGGGAAAACAAUCCAACUGGGGAUCGUUUGACUAGUCCGCAGGAUUUCCAGGUGCUAUCCUGCAUCUAGGCAUGAGCGGUCCAACCGGGGGACGAAACUCCAAAGCUCCCACACCGGAACAUUCAACGCCAUGUGUAGCUCCCAAACUAUGUCCUACGCGCGCAGACUGGAUCAUCACACAUCGGAACAUCCAACGCCAUGGUGAUGACCCUAAACAUUAUACAAAGUCUUUCCAUAUGCCGGAACAUCCAACGCCGCACAUGGAAAGUGUCUCACACGCCGGAACAUCCAACGCCGCGAGUGAGACUAGUAAUUGGGGAAGGUACUUACGUAGUGUAACCACACAACUUCUCUCCAAACUCACAUUCUUCCACAUCACCCUCCAACAACCCAAGUAUCUCGUCUAAAGAGAAUAUAUAAAUAUACUUCCCC
RNAcentral lists this long non-coding RNA (870 nucleotides) under Prunus persica (peach). RNAcentral describes it as "long non-coding RNA (PPER_LNC004066)". The record is from RNAcentral. Lineage: Eukaryota; Viridiplantae; Streptophyta; Magnoliopsida; Rosales; Rosaceae.